AUUGAACGCUGGCGGUAUGCCUAACACAUGCAAGUCGAACGAGGUAGCAAUACCUAGUGGCGGACGGGUGAGGAAUACGUAGGGAUCUGCCCUUAAGUGGGGGAUAACCCGGGGAAACCCGGAUUAAUACCGCAUGAUCUCGCAAGAGCAAAGAGGGGGACCGCAAGGCCUCUCGCUUUUGGAGGAACCUACGUCGGAUUAGCUAGUUGGUGAGGUAAUGGCUCACCAAGGCGACGAUCCUUAGCUGGUCUGAGAGGAUGAUCAGCCACACUGGGACUGAGACACGGCCCAGACUCCUACGGGAGGCAGCAGUGGGGAAUUUUGGACAAUGGGGGCAACCCUGAUCCAGCAAUGCCGCGUGAGUGAAGAAGGCCUUCGGGUUGUAAAGCUCUUUACCCGUAGAUGAUAAUGACAGUAUCGGGAGAAUAAGACUCCGGCUAACUCCGUGCCAGCAGCCGCGGUAAU
This 465-nucleotide ribosomal RNA is filed under the name uncultured bacterium. RNAcentral describes it as "bacterial SSU rRNA". It matches the Rfam family "Bacterial small subunit ribosomal RNA", at positions 30 to 524 of the family's 1533-position model. The record is from RNAcentral.